This 682-nucleotide ribosomal RNA is filed under the name Klebsiella planticola. RNAcentral's name for it is "Raoultella planticola partial 16S rRNA". Lineage: Bacteria; Pseudomonadati; Pseudomonadota; Gammaproteobacteria; Enterobacterales; Enterobacteriaceae. The record is from RNAcentral.
CGUCAGUCUUUGUCCAGGGGGCCGCCUUCGCCACCGGUAUUCCUCCAGAUCUCUACGCAUUUCACCGCUACACCUGGAAUUCUACCCCCCUCUACAAGACUCAAGCUUGCCAGUUUCAAAUGCAGUUCCCAGGUUGAGCCCGGGGAUUUCACAUCUGACUUAACAAACCGCCUGCGUGCGCUUUACGCCCAGUAAUUCCGAUUAACGCUUGCACCCUCCGUAUUACCGCGGCUGCUGGCACGGAGUUAGCCGGUGCUUCUUCUGCGAGUAACGUCAAUCGCUAAGGUUAUUAACCUUAACGCCUUCCUCCUCGCUGAAAGUACUUUACAACCCGAAGGCCUUCUUCAUACACGCGGCAUGGCUGCAUCAGGCUUGCGCCCAUUGUGCAAUAUUCCCCACUGCUGCCUCCCGUAGGAGUCUGGACCGUGUCUCAGUUCCAGUGUGGCUGGUCAUCCUCUCAGACCAGCUAGGGAUCGUCGCCUAGGUGAGCCAUUACCCCACCUACUAGCUAAUCCCAUCUGGGCACAUCUGAUGGCAUGAGGCCCGAAGGUCCCCCACUUUGGUCUUGCGACGUUAUGCGGUAUUAGCUACCGUUUCCAGUAGUUAUCCCCCUCCAUCAGGCAGUUUCCCAGACAUUACUCACCCGUCCGCCGCUCGUCACCCGAGAGCAAGCUCUCUGUGC